AGGGCCUUGCGCUUGCUAGGCAAGCGCUCUACCACUGAGCUAAAUCCCCAACCCCUCUUCGGCAAAUUCUUAAGGAAUAACUGUAGUUUGCGAGCUCAGGCGGGACCAUGCUGACUCGGCUGAAAGCAAAAUCAGAAGGGAAGCUUGCAAAACAGCUAUGCAGAGUUGUGCUGGAUCAGUUUGACAAACAGUAUUCGAAAGAACUUGGGGAUUGCUGGAGUACAGUAAGGUAAAGGAAUUCCUCUCUUGCUUGAGCUGUAGAAAUGAGGGACAAAUUAAAAACAGAAGACAUAGUGAAAGUAAGAUUGAAUAUCUUCUCAAUUUUAUCUGUAAAAUGGGAAUGUACUACAUUUUAAACAACGCUUUAAUAAAAAUCCUAACAUUGUGAAAUAAAGAAGAUAACAAGUCCUUAAAGUCAAUGUUCUCUCUCUUGGCUAAAAGUCAGGCUUUAUUGGGCAAUUAUGAUCACCAUUACAUCUGUAUCUGGAACACAUGCAUAUGGACAGACCAAUCUAAAAGCAGCUAAGUGUCCAUGAUGGCUGUGGUUGAAAUGGCGGGGAGGGAAGGCAGUUGACGUUAGGUUGGUAGAUUGCAGGUUGUCUUUUGACCUCCAUGCUUAGCCAUACUCUAUCCCUGAAAUAAAUUCCAAUAAUUUCUAAAGUGACAAAUAUGAUUUGUGUUUUGGUGAGUUUUUGUUUUCGAUCGGAAUGGUAGUGAAGAGGGUUUUGUAUGGAAUGCAUGAUUGGUAUAUAUGAUACCCUCUAGAAUACAUAAGUCUGUUCAUGGGAGAGGUACAAGGGAGGGGCACCUUAAACAUUCCAGAAACAUGCAAUA
Long non-coding RNA from Rattus rattus (black rat), 834 nucleotides. RefSeq lists it as uncharacterized. NCBI's taxonomy places the organism in Eukaryota, Metazoa, Chordata, Mammalia, Rodentia, Muridae. The record is from RefSeq and is a predicted model, not a curated record. The transcript is spliced from 3 exons.